CAAAUUCUCUCCUGGCUGUAAAAUCAUGGAAUUCCAGGUAAGGGAAGGAAGGUGAUGGGAAUCUAUUCAUAGUAUUCAAAGAAAACAACCAGGAAAAGAAAUGGGUUUAAAUGAAAGGAAAACAAGAUGUACAAUUAAACAUGUGCUCAUCUCCUUAGCUGUUCAUUAGGCCUCCUUAGAUAUCAUAAAAGUAUGACUUACACCUGUUCACUGGGGACAGUUUGGGCAUAACAGCUACCAUUGAUUUGGUGCUUCUGAUGUGUUUACUACUAUAUUUAACAGUUCACACAUUUUAUUUCACUUAGUGCUCAAGACCUGUGGGUAGGUGUGAGGAUCGUCCCCACUUUGAGAGGAACUAAAUGAAGCCUCCCGAGAUGUUACUGAUUGAGGAACAAAUAUCUAGUGUUUACAGAAAUAAAAGCUCUAUUACAUUUCCUCAUGUCAGAGUAUUCAUAGGGUUUAUGUGCUUCUCUGGGAAGAAAAGGAAAUACAACUGUUUUGCAGUACCUCCAGGCCCAGGUCACCUCUGUCCUCCCUUCCGUCCAUCCCUGGAGCCUCCAACGCCACUGUGAGAGAAAAGAACCGUGCCAAUCUGAGAAAAUCCAAGGGAGAUCUUUUUUGCAAGGCGGAUACAAAUGAAAACAUUGCAAGGCUUUGUUUCCACUUCUCAAUCAGAAAAUGGAUUUAUGAAGGCAGCUGUCUGGUUCAAGGGCAUGCAAGAAGACAUUCAACUCCCUGGAGAAAAGAAAACACAACAAAACGAUGAAGUUUUAUUAACAGGUUAUUUUGAGUCUGUUUCUUCAAAUUCCAGUUCAAAAGUUUGGACCAGGAUAAAUUGAGAGAAAAAACCUUGCCGUGAUUUUGCAAAGUUGGAGCCAGGGAACACACACGCAAGCCUUGAGUCUUUGCAUGGCAGGUUUUUUCAAGUCAGAUUUCCGGUUCAACUAUUGAGCAAAGUAAGGAAUACCAAGCAGAAUUUGAACUUUGCUGUUCAAGUUGUGGGAAGUUGGAGUUGGGAGCCGUUGGAUAGCAGAGGUCUCGCUGAGCUCAGUGACUGUUCAGCAUCAUUGUUCCAGCACUGGAAACACAAAGGGAGGAAAAGCAGUCCAACAGCAGGAGUGCUUGUAUACCACGCAGCUCCAUGCCGUAUCUUUUGAACAAAGAAUGAACCCAAGGAUGAAAAGCAGCCAGAAAGACUACAGAUGCCCCAGGAGAGCCUCUUCCCAUGCCUCACUCUGCCUCAGAGUCCCUGGCACUGGCGUCUGAGUGAGGAAGCAAGAGAGGUGAUCCUGAAGUCCUUAACUGCCCCGUAAGUUACCUGAAAGCCUGCUGUCCUCCCAGGACCUGUCCAAGCUGCACCUGAGGGAGAGAAGCCCACCUGCUCCAGCUCUUCCAGAGUAACAGCACUGACACAGGUGUUCCGUUAAAACCAGCAACCAACCCAGGAAGAUUGGAAUGGACUUGGUAGCUUCUAUGAUGUAGGAGCUGGGAGAGGGACCAGAACUCCAAUAGUAACACGACAGGACCCUAAAGAGUUUUGGAGCUCCUGGUCACAGUCCACAGUGGAGACAACACAGAACAGCUAUGACACAUUGGACCCUACACUUAACGCCCAGCGUCUUCUAAGAAGAGGAAACAGGGAGGAACCUACAGAAGGUGACCAAGGCAGAGGCUGGAGUGGUGCUGCCACAAGCCAAGGGUACCAGGAGUCACCGGGAGCUAGAAAAGGCACAGGCGGGUCUUCCCCAGGCUUUGUUGGGAGGGCCACCUUGCUGACACUUUCCUUUCCCACUUCCUGUUUCCGCUCUGUGAGAGGAAGUUUCUGUGUCCCAAGCCUCCACGUGUCUGGUAAUUUGUCUCAGCAGUGCUAGGAAAGUCUCUCAGCCUAUCCUGGAACUGAGGCUACUAGCACGAAUAUCAGGGAACACUUGUCUUAAGUUCAAAGAGUGAUGAUACAAAACAAAUGGGCAGCCUUAUAGUGAACGCAUCUGGAAAACUGUACAGAAUUAAAAUGUUUAAACUUAUGUUUAUUCCUUUCUUUCUUUUUCUCCUUUAGAGCUAGGUCUCAUCCUAUUGCUCAAGUUGGCCUCCAACUCCUGGGCUCAACUGAUCCUCCUGUGUAGCUGGGACAUCGGUGUGGGC
This 2142-nucleotide long non-coding RNA is filed under the name Heterocephalus glaber (naked mole-rat). RNAcentral's name for it is "lncRNA (ENSHGLG00000044573.1)". The record is from RNAcentral. Lineage: Eukaryota; Metazoa; Chordata; Mammalia; Rodentia; Bathyergidae.